UGUGCAAUUUAUUAACCGAAGCAAAGGAAGGAAAUGGCAGAGACUAAAACGAUGAUGAUAGAGGAAGAAUGGCUUGAUGUUCUCACUAAAACUGGAGAGAAAACCGGAAUUUCCAAGCCCAGGGCAGAGGUACACAGAAAUGGAGACUAUCACCGGGCUGUACACGUGUGGAUUUAUGCGGAGAGCACACAGGAAGUGCUUCUUCAAAAGAGAGCUGAUGGUAAGGAUUCAUGGGCUGGACUGUGGGAUAUAUCCAGCGCUGGUCAUAUUUCUGCUGCCGAUUCUUCUCUUAUAACUGCUAGGAGGGAACUUCAGGAAGAGCUAGGCAUUGCCCUUCCAAAAGAUGCAUUUGAGUUGCUUUUUGUAUUUCUUCAAGAGUGCAUCAUAAAUGACGGAAGUUAUAUCAAUAAUGAGUACAAUGAUGUGUAUCUCGUAACAACUGUACAUCCAAUUCCUUUGGAAGCUUUCACUCUUCAAGAAACAGAAGUAUCUGCUGUAAAAUAUGUCUCCUUUGAAGAAUAUAGAAGCUUACUUACUAAAGAACAUCCAGACUAUGUCCCAUAUGAUGUAAAUGGGCAAUAUGGUCAACUCUUUGACAUAAUUCAGCAAAGGUAUAAAGAAAACACCACAGCACGCAGCUUGACACUGCAGAAGCAGCUGUAUCGAUAUGCUCCUGUUUCUCUUAGUGAGGAGUUGUCGGGUCUAUCUGACGGAGACAAGGAGGCAUUAUGUUUUCUUAUUAAGGCUGCAAAAGUUGUGGAUGAAAUCUUCUAUGUGCAGGUUUGGCACAGCAAUCCCUCUCUAAGAGAUUGGUUGAAAGAGCACGCCGAUGCAUCAGAAUUGGACAAGAUGAAAUGGAUGUAUUAUUCAAUUAAUAAGAGCCCGUGGUCCUCUCUUGAUGAAAAUAAGGCAUUUUUGACUACUGCUGAUUCAGCUGUAAAGCUGCUUCCUGAAGCCACAAAGCCAGUUGGAGGAUGGAAGGGUCUAGAAUAUAAGUCGGCAUUUCCUAUUCAUAUACCACCUGGUGCAAAUUUUUAUCCCCCAGACAUGGAUAAAAUGGAAUUUGAAUUAUGGAAGAGCACUCUCACAGAGUCUCAACAAGAAGAUGCAACCGGAUUUUUCACUGUCAUCAAAAGGCAUAGUGAAUUCAAUUUGGACUCCUCUCUAUUAAAUCAAACAGUUGGUAGUGCAGGUCAUUUGGUUGGUAAGCAUGAUCUGUUUAGCAUUCCUUACUCUGGAGAGUAUAAUUCUCUCCUUGCAAAAGCUGCUGAGCUAUUGCAUAAAGCUGGGAACUUGGCUAGUUCACCAAGUUUGAAGAGGUUACUGCAUAGCAAAGCUAAUGCAUUCCUUUCAAAUGACUACUAUGACUCAGAUAUAGCCUGGAUGGAAUUGGAUUCCAAGUUGGAUGUAACUAUAGGUCCAUAUGAGACAUAUGAAGAUACACUUUUUGGAUAUAAGGCUGCUUUUGAAGCAUUCAUUGGAGUCAGGGAUGACAAAGCAACAGCUCAACUUAAGCUCUUCGGUGAUAAUUUGCAGGUUUUGGAGCAAAAUCUUCCAAUAGAUAAUGCUUACAAAUCAACUGGUGUUAAUGCUGCUCCUAUUCGUGUCAUUCAACUUAUCUUUAAUGCGGGAGAUGUAAAGGGUCCUCAAACAGUUGCUUUUAAUUUACCCAACGAUGAGCGUAUAGUUAAAGAUCGAGGAACUUCAAUGGUCAUGCUCAAGAAUGUUUCACAGGCCAAGUUCAAGCAUAUUCUUCAGCCCAUAGCCGAUGUCUGUAUUACCAAGGAACAGAAGGAACUUGUAGAUUUUGAAUCUUUCUUUACACACACCAUCUGCCAUGAAUGCUGCCAUGGUAUUGGACCCCAUUCAAUUACACUCCCAAAUGGUGAAAAAUCUACAGUGAGAAAGGAGCUACAAGAACUCCACUCAGCUUUAGAAGAAGCAAAAGCUGAUAUAGUUGGCCUUUGGGCACUAAAGUUCUUAAUCGACAAGGAUAUGCUUUCAAAGAGUCUGGUGGAGUCUAUGUAUGUCUCUUUUCUUGCCGGAUGCUUUCGCUCAGUUCGAUUUGGUUUAAAAGAAGCUCAUGGAAAAGGACAAGCAGUGCAGUUCAACUGGUUAUUUGAGAAAAAAGCAUUCAUAUUGCACCCUGAUGGCACUUUCUCCAUUGAUUUUGCCAAGGUUGAAGGGGCAGUUGAAAGCCUUAGCCGGGAAAUACUAACUAUACAGGCAAAAGGUGAUAAAGCAGCUGCAAGGUUGCUGCUUCAGAAAUACUGUGUAAUGACAGAGCCCUUAAAACUAGCAUUGAACAAAUUAGAGGCUGUUCAGGUGCCUGUGGAUAUAGUUCCCACAUUUCCCAUAGCCGAUGAGAUAUCAGAGUAGAGGCAGUUUUACUGUGUUCAAGCAUGAAAAUUGCACAGCUUUCUUGCUCUGCGGAUCAAAUAACUGAAAAUUUGACAAUGGUAGAUCAUCUUCAUUGUUUUUAGCAAUAAAUCUAGCACUCUUGGCGUGAUAUCUUCAAUGUUGACUGCAAUAAAUCCAGAACAGUUGAUGUCUUGGGGAAAAUGCUCUUCCACGUAAUUUCGAAGUUCACAUCUAGAGGAAAAAAUACCAAUGGCAUUUCUCCCCUAACUUAGAUCGCAAGUAUCGAAUAUAUGCUACCUCAAGAAAACAGUGUCAAAUAUACGAGUGAGAUUUUCAAAUAGAUGUAAAAUAAAUGAUCUGGAGAGCUAUUUUGAUUCUAUUUUGCUGCAGCAAACGCUUUGAUGAUAAAAUAGAAACCAUGACUUUCAGUAUU
RNA transcript from Mercurialis annua (annual mercury), 2794 nucleotides. It is a transcript of the gene named nudix hydrolase 3-like, with no coding region annotated. Lineage: Eukaryota; Viridiplantae; Streptophyta; Magnoliopsida; Malpighiales; Euphorbiaceae. The record is from RefSeq and is a predicted model, not a curated record. The transcript is spliced from 22 exons.